RNAcentral lists this ribosomal RNA (1199 nucleotides) under Pealius machili. RNAcentral's name for it is "16S ribosomal RNA". Lineage: Eukaryota; Metazoa; Arthropoda; Insecta; Hemiptera; Aleyrodidae. The record is from RNAcentral.
UAGGUAAAAAAAUUUUUAUAUAAAUUUUUUAAACAUUAUUAAAUAAAAAAAUUAAUUAAAUUUUAACUACUAAAAAAUAAAAAUAAAAUUAUUACUUAAAUUUAAGUUAAAUGUAAAAUAAAAGUAGUUUUAAGUUAACGUACCUUUAGUAUCAGGGUUAAUUAAUAGUAAUUAUGUAUUUAAAAUUCUCGAAAAAAAUAGAAAUAAGCUUUAUUAUUUAUAAUAUGUAAAAAUUAUAUAAAAAUAAAAUUUAGAUUUUAUAAAAAUUCAAUAUUUUAAUAUCUAGUUGUUAAAGAAAAGAUUCAAUCUUAUAUUAUUAUUAAUUACUUAAUUAAAUUUUAAAUUUAUAAUUUAAUAUUUUAAAAGACAAGUUAUAAAAUUUAGGAUAAAUAGAAAAAAAAAUUUUAAUAAAAUAGUAUUAAAAAUUUAUAAUUUUAAAGUUUGUUAAAAUAUUAAAGAAAAAAAAAAAUUUAACGAAAAAAUUAUAAAUUAAAUUUAACAAUAAUUUAAAAUAAAACAUAAUAAAAUCUUAUGAUUAAAUUAAUAUACUUUAAAAUUAAUAUAAAAAGAACUAGGCAAUAUUAAUUUUCAACUGUUUAACAAAAACAUAGCUUAAAGUUUAAGUUUUAAGUAAAUUCUGCUCAAUGAAUAAAAUUAAAUAGCUGCAGUAUUAACUGUACUAAGGUAGCAUAAUAAUUUGUUUUGUAAUUUAAAACUAGAAUGAAAGGUACUAUGAGAAAUUAACUAUUUAAUAAAUUUAAAAGUAAAAUUUAAUAAUUAAGUAAAAAAUCUUAAAUUAAAUAAAAAGACAAGAAGACCCUGUAGAAUUUAAUAAUUAAUAUUAAAAUCAUUAAUAAAAACUAUUUAAUUGGGGAGAUUAUAAAUAAACAAAAACAUUUAUUUUUAAUUUACAUAAAUUUAUGAAUCUUUUUAUACCCAUAAAUAAUGAACUAAGAAUAAAUUACCUAAGGGAUAACAGCGUAAAAUUUUUAAAAAGAUCAAAUUUACAAAAUUUAUUACGACCUCGAUGUUGGAUUAAGCAAAUCAUUAAAGAAGAAUUUAAUUAUUAAAGGUCUGUUCGACCUGCAGAGCUUACAUGAUCUGAGUUCAGACCGGCGUAAGCCAGGUCAGUUUAUAUCUUUUAUUUAACAUUUAAUUAUAGUACGAAAGGAUUUAAUUAGUUAAAAUUUUUAUAAAAU